This 1371-nucleotide ribosomal RNA is filed under the name uncultured bacterium. RNAcentral's name for it is "bacterial SSU rRNA". It matches the Rfam family "Bacterial small subunit ribosomal RNA", at positions 29 to 1394 of the family's 1533-position model. The record is from RNAcentral.
UUGAACGCUGGCGGCAUGCCUUACACAUGCAAGUCGAACGGCAGCAUGAUCUAGCUUGCUAGAUUGAUGGCGAGUGGCGAACGGGUGAGUAAUACAUCGGAACGUGCCCUGUAGUGGGGGAUAACUAGUCGAAAGAUUAGCUAAUACCGCAUACGACCUGAGGGUGAAAGUGGGGGACCGCAAGGCCUCAUGCUAUAGGAGCGGCCGAUGUCUGAUUAGCUAGUUGGUGAGGUAAAGGCUCACCAAGGCGACGAUCAGUAGCUGGUCUGAGAGGACGAUCAGCCACACUGGGACUGAGACACGGCCCAGACUCCUACGGGAGGCAGCAGUGGGGAAUUUUGGACAAUGGGGGCAACCCUGAUCCAGCAAUGCCGCGUGUGUGAAGAAGGCCUUCGGGUUGUAAAGCACUUUUGUCCGGAAAGAAAUCGCACUUACUAAUAUUAGGUGUGGAUGACGGUACCGGAAGAAUAAGGACCGGCUAACUACGUGCCAGCAGCCGCGGUAAUACGUAGGGUCCAAGCGUUAAUCGGAAUUACUGGGCGUAAAGCGUGCGCAGGCGGUUGUGCAAGACCGAUGUGAAAUCCCCGGGCUUAACCUGGGAAUUGCAUUGGUGACUGCACGGCUAGAGUGUGUCAGAGGGGGGUAGAAUUCCACGUGUAGCAGUGAAAUGCGUAGAGAUGUGGAGGAAUACCGAUGGCGAAGGCAGCCCCCUGGGAUAACACUGACGCUCAUGCACGAAAGCGUGGGGAGCAAACAGGAUUAGAUACCCUGGUAGUCCACGCCCUAAACGAUGUCAACUAGUUGUUGGGGAUUCAUUUCCUUAGUAACGUAGCUAACGCGUGAAGUUGACCGCCUGGGGAGUACGGUCGCAAGAUUAAAACUCAAAGGAAUUGACGGGGACCCGCACAAGCGGUGGAUGAUGUGGAUUAAUUCGAUGCAACGCGAAAAACCUUACCUACCCUUGACAUGCCACUAACGAAGCAGAGAUGCAUUAGGUGCUCGAAAGAGAAAGUGGACACAGGUGCUGCAUGGCUGUCGUCAGCCCGUGUCGUGAGAUGUUGGGUUAAGUCCCGCAACGAGCGCAACCCUUGUCUCUAGUUGCUACGAAAGGGCACUCUAGAGAGACUGCCGGUGACAAACCGGAGGAAGGUGGGGAUGACGUCAAGUCCUCAUGGCCCUUAUGGGUAGGGCUUCACACGUCAUACAAUGGUGCAUACAGAGGGUUGCCAAGCCGCGAGGUGGAGCUAAUCCCAGAAAAUGCAUCGUAGUCCGGAUCGUAGUCUGCAACUCGACUACGUGAAGCUGGAAUCGCUAGUAAUCGCGGAUCAGCAUGCCGCGGUGAAUACGUUCCCGGGUCUUGUACUCACCGCC